UGUGGACUUCUCUGGAAAGUUUUGGCUGAAAUACAUGGGGAGCUGGUGCUGAAGCUGAAAACCCUUGAUUAUGUCCUUGCGCUGGGACGGUGCCAGUGGCAACUGUCACUCAAUGGGACAGAG
RNAcentral lists this small nucleolar RNA (123 nucleotides) under Vicugna pacos (alpaca). RNAcentral's name for it is "Small nucleolar RNA SNORA30/SNORA37 family (ENSVPAG00000017810.1)". The record is from RNAcentral. Lineage: Eukaryota; Metazoa; Chordata; Mammalia; Artiodactyla; Camelidae.